CAUUCUCCACGAACUCCACCCCGACAGAUACGGAUACACACACACACACACAAAGAGAAGCAUGGAGGCCGUGGUGAAGCUCAAUCGCAAGCUUGGGGUGGGCGGCCGCGGCGUUGUUUACGAGGGCUUCGAUCACGCCAGAGGGCACUUCGUCGCCAUCAAGGAACUUGCCUACAUGGAACCCAGCGUCGCUGACGAAGACGACACGGAGCUGGCUGCCAUUUUGAGUGAGCUCGCAUAUAUGCGCGAGGCACAACACACCAACCUCGUCGAGUAUUACGGCGCCCGCCGCUGCGCCAUCGGCAUUCAGAUUAUAAUGGAGUACGUAAGUGGCGGCUCGCUAGACUACGUGUUGACGCGCUGCGGCCCUUUGCGCGAGAACGUCGCCCGUGCGUAUACCCGCGAUGUCCUCGAGGCACUGCACUACCUGCACAAGACCAUGCACGUGUGCCACCGUGACGUGAAGCCGGCAAACAUCCUCAUCACGCCGGAUGGGCGGUGCAAGUUGGCCGACUUCGGGGUCGCAAAGCAGGUCGACGCGACGACGCCGACGCGCCCAGCGCAUGCAGAACGUGGCGGAAAAGGUAUGGGAAAGGAGGAAGAGGGCAACUCCCCGCGCCACCGCAACGGCGGGCGUCAAGGCUACCUGCAGACAGCGGUGGGAACGCCGUGGUACAUGGCGCCAGAGGUGAUCAACGGCGGCGUCGAGGACGACGACGAUGGCGAUGAAGAUUUGGAGCUUGGCAACGCGUGCGCAGUCGCCAUCGACGGCGACGCAAACAGCGGCAGCUUCAGCGAGGACUGGACCAGCAGCGGCCUGGCGCACACGGUACCUGACGCAUCCGCCUCGCCACCGCCGCUGUACUCGUCAUCGAGCUACUACAAUCCACUCAAGAGCAUUGUCAAGAAGGGCCGUCUUGGUGCUCGCUCGGUCGGCUAUACCACCAGCGCCGACAUCUGGAGUGUUGGCGUCACCGUGUACGAGAUGGUCACCGGCACGAAACCCUUCGGCGCCGACCUGACCAACCCGUCUGCGGUGCUCUUCCGCAUCGCGAACUGCGCCGCAUCUCCGCCGCAGCUGCCGGCGGACGUGCACGUCUCGGCGGAGCUGCACAGCUUCUUGGACUUGUGCUUUGUGUACGACAAGGACCUCCGCGCGACGGCGGCGGAGCUCUUGGGUCACCCAUGGCUGGGGCCUGUUCGCAAGGGGGGCGGCAGCGGCGGUGACAACGCCAGUGCAGAUGAGAAGCCACGUCGCCAGCUCUUCAACGGAAAGCGUCACUCUCGAUCUGGCAUGCGCGUGGACGAGGGCGAACAAGUGCAGCGCCAUCAGCAGCUAGCGGCCCAACGCACCGUCUUCGACGGCGUCCCCCUCCUCGACUCCAUCGACCUUCCAGCCUACCCCGCAACGACGGCGGUCUCGUCUCCGCCUUCCUCUGCGGUAGCGGAAUGUGGCGGCAGCGGAGAGGGAGCCCAUCCUGCCCCUGACACCUCACCAAGGCGUGCGCGGCACAGCGUGCACCGUCUGUCGUGCAGCGGGACCCAUUGCAGCGGCUGCAGCGUUACUCGCCGCUCACCCUCAACCAUUUCGCCGCCGCUAUCAUCCGUUUCUAUCGCGGAGCAGGCGGAGGCGUCUUCGCGGUACGCGGCGGUGCGGCAGCGCAUUGGACAUACCCGCGCAACCAACUCCGCGCACACCGCGGCCUCAGCGGCCCCACUGGCCGCGCAAUCAAAUCCCGGUUCUCUCUUCUCCACGCGCGGCGAGUUCGUCGAUUUUAUGUCGCACCCUUGAUGAGGCGGAGGGGGGCCUGCAGCCGCCGAAACUGUUUUUGCUUCCAUAUCAGGAGCCACAGCUGUGUGUGCGUGUGUAUAUAUACGCCUGUUCUUCGAGCCGCCCACCCCUCCUCCCCCUGCUGAAGACGGCCGCUGGCACCUCUCCUCGUCUCUCCUCUCACCGCUGUACAUCUAUUUCUUGCCCUCACUUCUCGGUCGCCGCUUCGGUGAUUGUGUGUGUGUGUGUGUGUGUGUACAUGUGCAAAGUCGGGUGUGUGUGCCCUGCUUGGACCGUCUGCAGUUCUCUCCCGCUCUGUGGCCGUGGCUGUCGGGUGUGCGGGCCAUGUUUGCGUCCCCGCUUUCAUGCACUUGGACGCAUGCCCAUACGUGUCCUUGG
This 2170-nucleotide unclassified non-coding RNA is filed under the name Leishmania donovani. RNAcentral's name for it is "gene:LdHU3.25.2540(CDS-product:protein_kinase_put ative)". The record is from RNAcentral. Lineage: Eukaryota; Euglenozoa; Kinetoplastea; Trypanosomatida; Trypanosomatidae.